AUUGAACGCUGGCGGCAGGCUUAACACAUGCAAGUCGAGCGGGGGAAGGUAGCUUGCUACCGGACCUAGCGGCGGACGGGUGAGUAAUGCUUAGGAAUCUGCCUAUUAGUGGGGGACAACAUCUCGAAAGGGAUGCUAAUACCGCAUACGUCCUACGGGAGAAAGCAGGGGAUCUUCGGACCUUGCGCUAAUAGAUGAGCCUAAGUCGGAUUAGGUAGUUGGUGGGGAAAAGGCCUACCAAGGCGACGAUCUGUAGCGGGUCUGAGAGGAUGAUCCGCCACACUGGGACUGAGACACGGCCCAGACGCCUACGGGAGGCAGCAGUGGGGAAUAUUGGACAAUGGGGGGAACCCUGAUCCAGCCAUGCCGCGUGUGUGAAGAAGGCCUUAUGGUUGUAAAGCACUUUAAGCGAGGAGGAGGCUACUCUAGUUAAUACCUAGGGAUAGUGGACGUUACUCGCAGAAUAAGCACCGGCUAACUCUGUGCCAGCAGCCGCGGUAA
Molecule: ribosomal RNA, 501 nt
Filed under: uncultured bacterium
Lineage: Bacteria
Description: partial 16S ribosomal RNA
Rfam family: Bacterial small subunit ribosomal RNA
Source: RNAcentral